GACCAAGGAGUCUAGCAUGUGCGCGAGUCAUUGGGACCGCACUAAUCCUAAAGGCGUAAUGAAAGUGAAGGUCCGCCUAGCGCGGACCGAGGGAGGAUGGGUAGACGUAAGGGCUGCCCCGCACUCCCGGGGCGUCUCGUUCUCAACGCGAGAAGAGGCGCACCCAGAGCGUACACGCUGGGACCCGAAAGAUGGUGAACUAUGCCUGGUCAGGACGAAGUCAGGGGAAACCCUGAUGGAGGUCCGUAGCGAUUCUGACGUGCAAAUCGAUCGUCGGAACUGGGUAUAGGGGCGAAAGACUAAUCGAACCAUCUAGUACGUGGUUCCUUCCGAA
This 334-nucleotide ribosomal RNA is filed under the name Saprosites sp. sp176. RNAcentral's name for it is "eukaryotic LSU rRNA". It matches the Rfam family "Eukaryotic large subunit ribosomal RNA", at positions 664 to 965 of the family's 3401-position model. The record is from RNAcentral. Lineage: Eukaryota; Metazoa; Arthropoda; Insecta; Coleoptera; Scarabaeidae.